RNAcentral lists this ribosomal RNA (233 nucleotides) under uncultured bacterium. Its description in RNAcentral is "partial 16S ribosomal RNA". It matches the Rfam family "Bacterial small subunit ribosomal RNA", at positions 118 to 350 of the family's 1533-position model. The record is from RNAcentral.
UGGGUGAUCUGCCCUGCACUUUGGGAUAAGCCUGGGAAACUGGGUCUAAUACCGAAUACACCCUGCUGGUCGCAUGGCCUGGUGGGGGAAAGCUUUUGCGGUGUGGGAUGGGCCCGCGGCCUAUCAGCUUGUUGGUGGGGUGAUGGCCUACCAAGGCGACGACGGGUAGCCGGCCUGAGAGGGUGUCCGGCCACACUGGGACUGAGAUACGGCCCAGACUCCUACGGGAGGCA